GAGAACGCUGGCGGCGUGCUAACACAUGCAAGUCGAGCGGGUUGAAGCGAGAGGUAACUCGAGCUUCUACCUAGCGGCGGACGGGUGAGUAACGCGUGGGCAACCUGCCUCAAGGUUUGGGAUAACAGCCCGAAAGGGCUGCUAAUACCGGAUAUGCCUAUGGCCUCGCAUGGGGCUAUGAGCAAAGGGGAAACCCGCCUUGAGAUGGGCCCGCGUCCCAUCAGCUAGUUGGGUGAGGUAACAGCUCACCAAGGCGACGACGGGUAGCCGGCCUGAGAGGGUGACCGGCCACACUGGGACUGAGACACGGCCCAGACUCCUACGGGGGGCGAGCAGUGGGGGAUCUUGCACAAUGGGCGAAAGCCUGAUGCAGCGACGCCGCGUGAGCGAAGAAGGCCUUCGGGUUGUAAAGCUCUGUCUGGAGGGACGAACAAAAUGACGGUACCUCCGGAGGAAGCCACGGCUAACUACGUG
Molecule: ribosomal RNA, 474 nt
Filed under: uncultured bacterium
Lineage: Bacteria
Description: bacterial SSU rRNA
Rfam family: Bacterial small subunit ribosomal RNA
Source: RNAcentral